RNAcentral lists this ribosomal RNA (1199 nucleotides) under Uracis imbuta. RNAcentral's name for it is "partial large subunit ribosomal RNA". The record is from RNAcentral. Lineage: Eukaryota; Metazoa; Arthropoda; Insecta; Odonata; Libellulidae.
GCUCCGGUUUGAACUCAGAUCAUGUAAGAAUUUAAAGGUCGAACAGAYCUAUAUAUUAAGCGGCUACACCUAAUUAUUAUCUUAAUCCAACAUCGAGGUCGCAAGCCUCCCGUAAAUAUGAACUCUGGAGGAGGAUUACGCUGUUAUCCCUAAGGUAACUUAAUCUAACAAUCACUAUUAAUGGAUCUAAUACUCAUAAAUCAAUGUUAUAAAAAUAAAAAAGUUUAUCAUAUAUUUUUGUCACCCCAACAAAAUAUAUUCUGAAAUAAAAAUAUUAAUAUAAAAAUCUUUAAAUAAAAAUAUAUAAAGAUCUAUAGGGUCUUCUCGUCUUCCAAUCAUAUUUUAGCUUUUUGACUAAAAAAUUAAAUUUUAAAACAAAUGAAAUGAGACAGCCAGUUCCUCGUUAAACCUUUCAUUCCAGCCCUCUAUUAAAAGACUAAUGAUUAUGCUACCUUUGCACGGUCAGUAUACCGCGGCCGUUAAAUAUAAUCACUGGGCAGGUCAGACCUUAUACUAAAACUCAAAAGGACAUGUUUUUGUUAAACAGGCGAGAACUAUAUUUGCCGAGUUCCUUAAAUCAUCAUAUUAUAUAUAAAAUUAAAUACAUUUUACUAUACUAAUUUAAUCAUUAUUUCAUGAAUUAUAUUAUUAAAAUCAUUAUUUUAAUAGAAAACUAAAAUAAAAAUAAAUUAAUUAAUAAUUAAAAUCAAUUAUAACACACUGUUUAAUGAUGGAUAAUUUUAACCCUACAAAAAUUAAAUUAAUUAAUACUUAUAGAAUUAUUUAGAGCUUAUCCCCUAAAAAAUUUUUAUCAUCAAAUAAUAAAUAAAAAAAUAUAAAAAUUAAUUAAUGAAAAUAAAUUAAAUUUAUUUCUUAAAAAACUAGAUACCUUCAAAACCGACUAAAAUUUCUCCCCUAAUUUAUAUUUUUAAUAAUUAUGAUACAUUAACUAAAAUAAUAAAUUAGCUCUUCUGAAAUCGAGAAUACACAUUAAUAAAUUCUAUAAUUGAUUAACCCUGAUACAAAAGGUACUGCAAAAUAAACAUACUUAUUAAAGAUUUAAUUUUAAAUUCUAUUUCAUCCAUUCCUUCACAGUAAUAAUAAACUAUAACAACAAAUAUUUUUCUUUAAUAUACUAAAAGCAAAGAUAUUUCUCAAAUACAAAAAAAAUUAUAUUAAGUAAGAUUAUAAUCAAAUUA